RNAcentral lists this ribosomal RNA (274 nucleotides) under uncultured bacterium. Its description in RNAcentral is "partial 16S ribosomal RNA". It matches the Rfam family "Bacterial small subunit ribosomal RNA", at positions 523 to 796 of the family's 1533-position model. The record is from RNAcentral.
AUACGUAGGGAGCAAGCGUUACCCGGAAUUACUGGGCGUAAAGCGCGUGUAGGCGGCUUGGUAAGUCGGGUGUGAAAUCCCGGGGCUCAACCCCGGAACUGCAUUCGAAACUGCCUCGCUAGAGUCCCGGAGAGGAAGGCGGAAUUCCCGGUGUAGAGGUGAAAUUCGUAGAUAUCGGGAGGAACACCAGCGGCGAAGGCGGCCUUCUGGACGGUGACUGACGCUGAGACGCGAAAGCGUGGGGAGCAAACAGGAUUAGAUACCCCGGUAGUCC